GACGAACGCUGGCGGCGUGCUUAACACAUGCAAGUCGAACGGUGAAGGGAUCAGCUUGCUGGUUCUGGAUGAGUGGCGAACGGGUGAGUAACACGUGAGUAACCUGCCCCCUUCUUCUGGAUAACCGCAUGAAAGUGUGGCUAAUACGGGAUAUUCUGGGUCUGUCGCAUGAUGGGUCUGGGAAAGAUAUUGUUUCGGUGGGGGAUGGGCUCGCGGCCUAUCAGCUUGUUGGUGGGGUGAUGGCCUACCAAGGCGGUGACGGGUAGCCGGCCUGAGAGGGUGGACGGUCACACUGGGACUGAGACACGGCCCAGACUCCUACGGGAGGCAGCAGUGGGGAAUAUUGCACAAUGGGCGCAAGCCUGAUGCAGCGACGCCGCGUGAGGGAGGGAGGCCUUCGGGGUGUAAACCUCUUUCGCCAGUGAAGCAGGCCUGCUCCUUGUGGGUGGGUUGACGGUAGCUGGAUAAGAAGCGCCGGCUAACUACGUG
This 489-nucleotide ribosomal RNA is filed under the name uncultured bacterium. RNAcentral describes it as "partial 16S ribosomal RNA". It matches the Rfam family "Bacterial small subunit ribosomal RNA", at positions 28 to 507 of the family's 1533-position model. The record is from RNAcentral.